UACAGAGGGGGCAAGCGUUGUUCGGAAUUACUGGGCGUAAAGGGCGCGUAGGCGGCCUGUUAAGUCGAACGUGAAAUCCCCGGGCUCAACCCGGGAACUGCGUCCGAAACUGGCAGGCUCGAAUUCGGGAGAGGGAUGCGGAAUUCCAGGUGUAGCGGUGAAAUGCGUAGAUAUCGAGAGGAACACCUGCGGCGAAGGCGGGUUGCUGGGCUGACACUGACGCUGAGGCGCGAAAGCUAGGGGAGCGAACGGG
RNAcentral lists this ribosomal RNA (253 nucleotides) under uncultured bacterium. Its description in RNAcentral is "partial 16S ribosomal RNA". It matches the Rfam family "Bacterial small subunit ribosomal RNA", at positions 524 to 776 of the family's 1533-position model. The record is from RNAcentral.